RNAcentral lists this long non-coding RNA (338 nucleotides) under Oryza sativa (Asian cultivated rice). Its description in RNAcentral is "long non-coding RNA (OSAT_LNC000872)". Lineage: Eukaryota; Viridiplantae; Streptophyta; Magnoliopsida; Poales; Poaceae. The record is from RNAcentral.
CGCCACGGGCGUCGCGUACGACCCCAGCCAGAUGCGCGUCCGCUUGUGCGGCUCCCGGAUCUCCGCCACCCACUUGCCCCACUUCCGCAUCCGCACGCCACGGUACUGCCGCCUCGGCUGCUGCUGCUGCAGCGGCAGCACCGCCGCCGCCGCCGCCUGCUCCUCCUUGGCAGCAACCGCCGCCGCAGCCGCGGCGAGAGGAGCCAUAGCCGCAGCCGCCGCCGCCGCAGCAGCAGCAGCAGAAGCAGCCGAGUCCUCGCUGGAGGAGCGGUGGUACUCGCCCUGCAUGAGCGAAGCGCGCCGCCGCCGCAGCCGCCCUCUUCUCUCUCUCUCUCUCU